This 1316-nucleotide long non-coding RNA is filed under the name Homo sapiens (human). RNAcentral's name for it is "HSALNT0346623". The record is from RNAcentral. Lineage: Eukaryota; Metazoa; Chordata; Mammalia; Primates; Hominidae.
AAAAAAAAAAAGGGGAAGUCUAAUUACUUAUGAAUUCCUCAGAUAAGGAGUAUUGCCUCUGGAUGGUCCACUUGAUAGCCACCAGGUGAUCUUUGCUCUCCUCAGUUCUCAGUCCUUGGAUAUUGUUAGGGACAAACUGCCCAAAGAAAGCUUCUUUGGUGCUGCCCACCCCUCCCCCUAAUGCUCUGCAACUCUUCUCUGUGCCACCCACCCUUCCCCAAGUCUCUUUACAUUUCUAAGCCCUUAUCAAGGGCCAUGGUGAAGCCAGCCGACUUUCACUUAUCAGACCUUGCUGCGAUAAGCAAACCCCAAUUACAAACCACUCAGACCGCAUAGGGGAAGGUUGUGGGAAGCAUAAACAAACUUUACCUACACCCUCCUGUAAUAAACGUCACAAGGUGAUAUGUGGCAAAAUUAACCAGCAAACAACCCCAGGAUGCGGCCAUACCAAAGAACUCCCUCAAGCUACUUUCCCCAAUAUAAACCCCUCAUUCUUCUCUCCCCUUCCCUGAACCUGCCGAAGUCCCAGAGAAUCUCCUAGACUCUCCCACUGCUGACGACUUCAUCCACCAUCAAAGCCUCCGCCAGGCUCCUCGGCCUAGCCACUGAAGACUGACAAGGCCCAGGGCCCCUGGCCCCCACUGCCAUCACUGCAUGGAGCCCAGUGUAACUCUACUGGUAGCAGUUUUUACAGGACCCUAUCAGCGCUUUCACCCACGGGACAAUACAAAAUAUGAUGCUGCUCCAGGAAUACCAGAGGCUCCAAGAACAGCAGUCCCUACCGUCCAGCCUUCCCCGACAACUGUCGCCCUCUCCCAGUAAGAAGCAGCCAGAUGAUAACAGCACCCCUCUUCCAUUACCUAUUAAAAGUCUGGCAUGAGAGGGACAACUGCCCCGAGAAAGCUUCUUUGUGCUGCCCACCCCUCCCCCAAUGCUCUGCAAUUCUUCUCCAUGCCGCCCACCCUUCCCCAAGCCUCUUUACGUUUCUAAGCCCUUAUGUAGUCGCUACGGUGAAGCCAACAGACUUCACUUAUCAGACCUUGCUGCGAUAAGCAAACCCCAAUAACAAACCAUCCAGACCGCACAGGGGGAGGUUGUGGGAAGCACAAACAAACUUUACUACACCCUCCUGUAAUAAAUGUCACAAGGUGAUAUGUGGCAAAAUUAACCAGCAAACAACCCUGGGAUGCAACCAUACCAAAAAACUCCCUCAAACUUCCCUCCCCAAUAUAAACCCCUCAUUCUGUAAGCUUGGUGCUGCUUCCCUUGACUAUUAAGGGGGCAGCCGACAGGUUAAUAAAAACUUGCUCACCUGA